UGGUGGGUAGUUUGACUGGGGCGGUCUCCUCCUAAAGAGUAACGGAGGAGCACGAAGGUUGGCUAAUCCUGGUCGGACAUCAGGAGGUUAGUGCAAUGGCAUAAGCCAGCUUGACUGCGAGCGUGACGGCGCGAGCAGGUGCGAAAGCAGGUCAUAGUGAUCCGGUGGUUCUGAAUGGAAGGGCCAUCGCUCAACGGAUAAAAGGUACUCCGGGGAUAACAGGCUGAUACCGCCCAAGAGUUCAUAUCGACGGCGGUGUUUGGCACCUCGAUGUCGGCUCAUCACAUCCUGGGGCUGAAGUAGGUCCCAAGGGUAUGGCUGUUCGCCAUUUAAAGUGGUACGCGAGCUGGGUUUAGAACGUCGUGAGACAGUUCGGUCCCUAUCUGCCGUGGGCGCUGGAGAACUGAGGGGGGCUGCUCCUAGUACGAGAGGACCGGAGUGGACGCAUCACUGGUGUUCGGGUUGUCAUGCCAAUGGCACUGCCCGGUAGCUAAAUGCGGAAGAGAUAAGUGCUGAAAGCAUCUAAGCACGAAACUUGCCCCGAGAUGAGUUCUCCCUGAGACUUUAGGUCUCCUGAAGGAACGUUGAAGACGACGACGUUGAUAGGCCGGGUGUGU
RNAcentral lists this ribosomal RNA (617 nucleotides) under Salmonella enterica subsp. enterica serovar Derby. RNAcentral's name for it is "partial 23S ribosomal RNA". It matches the Rfam family "Bacterial large subunit ribosomal RNA", at positions 2259 to 2870 of the family's 2925-position model. Lineage: Bacteria; Pseudomonadati; Pseudomonadota; Gammaproteobacteria; Enterobacterales; Enterobacteriaceae. The record is from RNAcentral. RNAcentral also lists the same sequence under 1 other name.